CUUCGGCAACAUUCGGGCACGGUCGGUCCUCACGAUUCGUAAUACGCCGUCAGUCGGCACUUGACAGCGAGCGUGAAUGGUUGUUUAUCGCAGGUACACGCGAAAGGUGCCCUGGAGAGCGUUGUGCGCGUCGAUAAUCGAAAAAUGGCGUAAUAAAAUCUAACGCGCAUCUCUCGUCGCGUGUUUGACGAACGGUGAUCUCGUAAGAUUCCGCGGCGUCGUUCUCUCGCGUAGACAAUCGACCGAAGUGCGCCAUGAUCGUGUUGGGCCGACGAACCCGGCAACGUCGUUGAGUGAAAUUUAUAGUGUGCAUUUCGAGUGUGCUUUAGUGAAUCGCGCGCGUCGAGAUAAGAAAUCCCCGCCGGUUGAUGUCGUCAUCGUUAUCGUCAUCGUCGUCCUUGUCAUCGUCGUUGUUAUCGUACGUCUGCCAGUGACGACGCUGACGCGAACGACCUGAACGUCGCGACGCGACACAUCGUGACGUUACGUGACGCGUGACACGCGGGUCACACAAGUACGUGCGUCUUAAUCGCGACGUGUAUGAACCCCGAAAAAGCAGGCAAGGAAUGGCCCGUGCGUCCGCGACCAGGAUUCGGUGAUCCUGCCCAUUCGUGACAACUUAACGACUCGCUCAAAUCCGGGCGAGACCAAGAUGGCGCCACCGGCGUUUUGACACUUGCCGAAGGACGAUCCGUCAGCUGGACUUCGCCGUCGCCAGCAGGCGAUCCGUCUAUUAUGAGCAGAGAAUUCUACGUACCCUGCACACCUUAUACUUAUCAACAGUGCGGCAGCGGCAGCAGCGGGGGUGGUGGUUCGACGGAGGGUGUCGUGGUGAGCGUCGGUGCCGGUAACGGCGUCGGCAGCAAUAGCGGCGUCGGUGGCAUGGAUUGCAUGCCCCUGCGUCCCGGUCCGUUCCAUUACUUGAUCAACGAGCAAGCCAAGUCUUUGGUGGCCCUGCAGGAAUUGCAGAAUGAAGUCGGUGCCCUGCUCGAGUUCCGGGACCUCGUCAUCGAGACGUUCCCAAACCUCCGGCACAAGAUGGCCGCGACGGCGUCCGCGGGUGCGUCCGUGAUGUCGUCCACGUGCACCCAGAGCUCGCACAUUCCUCUGCCGCUGUCGAGUCCAUCCUCGCGAAGGAUCGGCGAAUGGGAACCCGGCAAGAUAAGACGGCGAGUGACGCGCGAGGCUGGCAGCAACGGAAGCGGCGGCGGCGGCGGCAGUGGAGGAGGAGGCGAAUCCUCCUCAUCGCUGCCUAGGAGUCGCAGCAACUCGCACAGCGGCGGUACCAAGAACAACUGUAGCGCGACUGUUCAAGAUUCCGGCUUCAGCACGGAGACCUCGUCGAAAGACAGUGCCUCAACGGCGAUCGCACCGCGGGCGAGCAGUCCCCGACCAAGUCCGUUGGACGAGGCGGAGGACGAACUCUGGAAUCUACUAGAUGUAAUCCAUCGCAAGGGGAUCCGGCUGCGGGAAGAGGUCGAGUGCCUUCAAGGUCGUCUGGAAAGUGUGGCGACGGAGGAACUGGCGUCAACGGACGUACUUGAGGCCGUGAGAAAUAUCACUGGACUCGACGCCGAUAGAACAAUCGUUCGCGAUAACAAUAUCAUUGUCGAUGAGCAACAGCAGCAAGAUAGCAGAGAUCCCCAGGUGAUAGCGCUCAGGCGGGAAAAAGAACAAUUGUUGGACAAGGUAGCCGAACUCGAAGCAGAGACGAUAUCGAGUCGCGUCAGAGCUCAGGAACUGCAAGCGGAAUUAGCCGAUUUGUCAGCAUUGAAAACUGGACUGGAGGAUCGGCUGCGACUAAUUGAAAAUACUUCGGAGAUCUUGGUGCCGGGUGUUCAGAGACUGCAACCGAUCGUGCCGGUGAUUUCUUCGCCGAAGAAUGCCAACGUUAAUAUCAAAAGCAAAAGCUCGGCAUUUGCGUCGGUCACUGGUAGUCCUGGAAGCAAAGCUUAUAAGAGUCGCUUCCGCACGAGGACUAUUGAGAAGAAUGUGCUACUAGACGUUGUCGGGUGCAACGAUGAGCCGCGCAAUAUCGAGAUCGAUAUUGAAGCUAACGUGAAUGAGAGGCGUGCCAGGUUGGGAGCGCUGGAUUCCAUCCUAGUAUCACCCACCAGGGUGGCUCACGUGAAGGAUGUAGAUUCAAAAAAAAUCGCGGCCAUUCUUCGUGAGCAUUCGCCUCUCGAGCUUCAGCGGCAUCUAAUUACUACUACCGUCCAUAAUCAGGUCUUACAAAAAAGAUUAGACGAAGUGGAGAAAAGUACGGAAACGCUCUCCGAACGAUUAGACAAAGCGCGCGAGGAAAACGACGAUUUACGGUUUCAGUUGGAAGAACGAAACAUCGAACUAGAAGGCACGCGGGCACGAGUCCGCGUGUUGGAACGCCUUCAGCAACGACCACCGACGGAAGUCGAGCCCGAAGCGGAUCUGGAACAACCCAGGUGCGAGCAGAGCGGCGUCGAACCUGGCAGCAGUACAGAAUCCGCGCGAGACCAUCAUCAGCCGGUAGAGAUCAAACCGUCGCCACGACGGCGUCCUAGUCGUAUACCUUUACCUGGCAGCGCGAGUGGCAAGACAACGUCGACGACGCCUACGACGAGCGCGACUACAAUCGCGCCACCGCGACCUAGUCACGGCAGGAACGACAGCAGGGAAUCGCUCAAAUCGCUGACGAGACCGCCGCGUGAUUCUAGUCGCGACAGCCACAGCGGCGGCAAAUCGUUAUCGAAAGCGCGCGACUCUAGUCGGGAUUCGCUCGGCAAUAGAAGUCUGUCCAAGAACGGCGGCAACGGAAGCAGCGGCAGUAAUGGUGGCGGCGGCAGCGGCGGCGGCGGCGGCAAUAAGGAAGCUAAUCGGGAGUCAUCCCUGAACAACCGAUCCCUGCCUCGUAACAAUUCCAGUCGAGAUUCCCUAAAUAAAUCUUCCUCGCUAUCCCGUGCUCGUGACUCAUUGGAAUCUAACAACCUCGGAACAUCCUCACCUACGACUAACGUCCCUCCCCGACGACCGCCCGCUCCCGCGCGCCGUUCCCACAGCCUGGCGCGCGCGGCGACGUCUGUCGAUGCGUCUGAGAACGGCAAGGUACGACCUGUAAAACAAUUCUUUUGGAGCAGCUGGCUGAAGUCACCGUUGUCCAACGGCCCGGUAUAGUACCCUCCCGGUAUAGUAACCUCCCGGCAAGCCUUCUCUUCCUAUGAACGACAGGCCAUAGUUGCUCUUUCUCUUUCCCCCUCUUAGACAUAAACACGGUCUCUAACAGUUUCCUUCGAAAACCAUUGUCUUGCCUUUGUAGCAAGAUCUAAAAACCGUUAUUCCUUUCUGAUAGAAUUCCAUCUCUCUCGGUCUGGAUUUUAAGUUCAUCAAAGUUUGGCUAGACUAAACGGCACAGACUAAACGGCGUACCUCUCAUUGACUAUCUAUUUUCUACUCUGUCAUCAUUUCUACUAAACGAUAAAUCCCUUUCAUCACAUUCUUUUUUUGUCUUACUUCAGUACUUUUCGCCAUUAUGACGAUCAUUGUUACUGUCAUUAUUGUUACGUCACAUCGUGUAAAACAAUCGUCACUACAAUAACUAUGAUUUUAUCAACCGGUGAUACUGAGAAAAUACAUGCUUUUACCGAGGAUAUAUCUGAUCCGAUUUCCUACAAUAAUAUAGACAUACGUAUGCAACAUUGUCAUUUUUCCCACGGCGUCUUUUUUCACUACAUCCUUGUUCUAUUCUCCUAACUCUACCAUGGACUUCGAGAUACGGUACCGCCAAUAUACGAUCAUACAAGAACGGAAUUUUUCUGUUUUCGCUGAGAACCUGCCACUAUCUUUGCCUAGUAAACCAAUGUUCCUGAAAAACACAUCUCUAACAAUACGUGCAGAGACUCGAGCGAGCGAAUCGACCGAGAUUCUUGUAUUAAAACCAUCAAUUGCCCGCCCGACCGUCCACCAUACCAAAAUCAGUCUGACCUGGAGGGCAGGCGAGCGUGCGUUCGAGCCCGUCCCCGGCGGUCCAAUAAAGAAAGAAAAUGGCCCCUUCUCGCGUGCCACCGGUUUUUUCUCAGCUGCACCGAACCACCAAGUUCCUGGUGCUCGACCAACAGCAGUUUCCGGCACAGUGAUUCAUCGCUCUAUCCGGACUCGCUGAAUCAAGAGACAUCAUCAGUCACCGGUUCCACGCGAGUGGAAUUCAUAAUCGGUUCACCCACCAGACGCUUCCGUACAAGCGCCGCGUGGCCUCAU
Molecule: RNA transcript, 4230 nt
Organism: Camponotus floridanus (Florida carpenter ant)
Lineage: Eukaryota; Metazoa; Arthropoda; Insecta; Hymenoptera; Formicidae
Gene: jvl
Exons: 5
Source: RefSeq, a predicted model, not a curated record